AGGAUGAACGCUGGCGGUAUGCUUAACACAUGCAAGUCGAACGGGGUCUUUCGGGAUCUAGUGGCGGACGGGUGAGUAACGCGUGAGAAUCUGCCUACAGGACUGGGACAACAGCUGGAAACGGCUGCUAAGACCGGAUGUGCCGAGAGGUGAAAUAUUUAUAGCCUGUAGAUGAGCUCGCGUCUGAUUAGCUA
RNAcentral lists this ribosomal RNA (194 nucleotides) under uncultured soil bacterium. RNAcentral's name for it is "partial 16S ribosomal RNA". It matches the Rfam family "Bacterial small subunit ribosomal RNA", at positions 26 to 247 of the family's 1533-position model. The record is from RNAcentral.